RNAcentral lists this ribosomal RNA (253 nucleotides) under uncultured bacterium. RNAcentral describes it as "partial 16S ribosomal RNA". It matches the Rfam family "Bacterial small subunit ribosomal RNA", at positions 524 to 776 of the family's 1533-position model. The record is from RNAcentral.
UACGUAGGGUGCGAGCGUUAAUCGGAAUUACUGGGCGUAAAGCGUGCGCAGGCGGUCUGUUAAGACCGAUGUGAAAUCCCCGGGCUCAACCUGGGAACUGCAUCUGUGACUGCAUCGCUGGAGUGCGGCAGAGGGGGAUGGAAUUCCGCGUGUAGCAGUGAGAUGCGUAGAUAUGCGGAGGAACACCGAUGGCGAAGGCAAUCCCCUGGGCCUGCACUGACGCUCAUGCACGAAAGCGUGGGGAGCAAACAGG